UGGAAACUUCGCCUCGCCACCUCAAGACCCCUCCACGCUCCGAUUGGCUAGCGGGGCCGCCGACGGCGCCGCCUCGGGCUGUGCGUUCUCUAUUGGUCGAAGGCGCCCGUCAGUCACAGCGGAGCUCCCCUCUCACAGGCCGCCGCCCUCUGUGUCCCACCGCGAGGGCGGGGCCCGCCGCUUCUCGGAGGAGUCAUCUAUCACUAGCUCGCCAGCUUCCAAUUCCCCACCAGAAGAGGAUCCCGAUUCUGGCAGUGCCUCCAUACCUGAAAUCUCAUACUCACUCCCACGGCCUUCUGAAAAAACAGAUGUGUCAGCACCAAAACUCUCAGAAGGGGAAUGUGAGUCUGGAGGUUUGUGCUUUUUCCGAGAUGACUUCAGGAAGCUAUGCAGUUCGUGACCCACAUGGAACGACCCUUGCUCAUCUCGAGACGAUUUCUUUGAGGAUUUUUUUGAGAAAGAAUCAUCAUCUGUUGCACUGCUUUUCUCUUUUGGUGAAAGGAUAAGCUUCAUUUUCAAGCCAUCAGGCUCACGAAGAGUAAGUGUCUCUGUGUUCACAUAAAGAGGUUUCAUUUUUUUAGUUUUGUGGAAGCUGCCAUCGUCCACUGAGUGCUCUGCACUGCUCCCACUCAUCUUCUUCUUGUGGUGCUCCUUUCUGCUUUCAGAAUGCCCAGAGGAAGGAUAAGAUGAUUUUUCAGAGGUCUUCUUUGAAGAUUUAGAGCUUGUGGACAAAGGUGUGGCGAUAGCCUUGAGUAGAUCCAUGUUUUUGUCAGUGGAAGAUGGGCUAGAAACUGUUUUUUUCUUCUUCUUUGAUGGUAGAUCCAAAGAUGAAAGACCUGAAAAAGGUCAAGAGAACUGCUCAUCAAGACAAUUCUCUUAAAGAUAGCAUUACACAAACCAAAAGUGAAGAGGGAAUCCUGCAAUACUUAUUAUUACAGCUAAGUGAUUUUCAUCUUGGCUGAAGAAGGUCUCUGAAACUUGCAGUCAGCUCAGUGUGUCCUUACAGAUAACAAUUCAGGAGCUGUAACACCAGAGCUGGUCAAUAUAUUUAAUGAAGAAAGACAGAAUGGGAAAGUUCUUGCAUUUCAUCAAAGUUUGCAUUCUAUCAUAAACCAGCAUAUUUUGAUAAAAAUAUCUUACUAAGUCUGAAAUAUUAUAAACUUGUAACAUCACUUUUAGCCCUGGAGGGACCAAUAAACGUACUGAAACAAGUAUAAGCUUUUCAUUCUUAAAAUAGAUUUUUUACUAAUUUCAGCUUGCAAAGAUAUUCCAAAGACUUGGCUUUCUUUUUGCACUGGGACAAAAAUAAAUCUUAAGCCUGUUAAGCUUUUAUGAACAGGGUUGUCAUUUUUUGGGCAGCUUUUUCAUUGUGAGGAUAAUGCUUCUGUAUGCAAUCUGAACCCAAAAGCAGUCAUAUUGUAUUCUGACACAUCCUAUUCUUAUAAAUUCAGAUAAAUUAAUUAGUACUAUCUGCAGCUUGUAAUGCAAUAGGGAAAAAAAGAAUGCAAAUGCCAAAAAGGAAGGCAUGAGUUAGAAAACUACAACUUGUCAGUGAAAAGAAGAGUGGAAGGUCUCUGCUCUGACAACAGCAACCUUUUAAGCUAAACUCUGAAAACAUCAUUUACUGAUAUUUUGCUGUUUGGUGCAGCAGAAAUCCCAUCAGUCAGGUGUCUGACUACUUGGCCUAAGACCAGUUGGUGUACUUUCCCCUUGAUAAAGCACUAACCACAAAGUUUGAUGACACUGGUUUAACAGUAUCCUUUCCUCAAAGUCAUUAUUCAUUAUCUGCUUCCCCUGUCUGAUUACUGUCUUACCCCUGGAGCAGAACUCAUCGGAAGAAUGCUUCCUCUUCUUUUUGUGAUGUUCUGUCCCCAGAAAGAGCUCACUGUCCUAGAAUAAGAAGA
This 1904-nucleotide long non-coding RNA is filed under the name Gallus gallus (chicken). The record is from RNAcentral. Lineage: Eukaryota; Metazoa; Chordata; Aves; Galliformes; Phasianidae.